This is a long non-coding RNA of Spinacia oleracea (spinach), 828 nucleotides long. RefSeq lists it as uncharacterized. Lineage: Eukaryota; Viridiplantae; Streptophyta; Magnoliopsida; Caryophyllales; Amaranthaceae. The transcript is spliced from 2 exons. The record is from RefSeq and is a predicted model, not a curated record.
UUCUUAUUGGAGUAAGGAAUAACAGCACAAUGCAAAGAUUUCAAAUGUAAAUUUGAGAAUUCGUAUGUAAAGAAAGAGAAAAUUCCACCUCUUUAAAACACGAUUGCUAUAUGCAACCUUUACUUACUUUAAUACACCCCGUAAAAAACCAAAAAUACCCUUUACUGUUUUUUUUCUCUCUCCCGCUACCUGAAUUUCUCUCUGAAACUGAAACCCUUUUUGAAGAACGUAAAUUGGAAAAAAAAAAUUUGGUUUCCUCGGAAAAUCAGGCGUCCUUCAACACCAAUCAAUCUCAUAAAGAUUUCAGUCCCAAAAUCACUCAUCAAGAAUCUCCGCUACAAGGAGUGUCCGAGUAAAAGUAUCAGUUUCUCGCGUUGUUUCUUGAAGGGAAAUUCUCAUGUAAGCUUCAUGUAGCCUGUAAAGGUUUUGUUCAUUAUUCAGAGAAUGUUUGAUGACUAUCAGGAAGAGCUAGAGAGAGCAGAGAGAGACCUGAAAUGUUUGUGAUGUGGAAAGAAACUUGGUUGAUAGUGUACAACUUACAAAUGCAGCAGGACCAACCCCUGCAAGAAGACCAAAUACCAAAUACCAAAUACCAAAUACCAGCAUCAGGUCUGCAAACUGGUUUUGUUCAAUUUCAUAAUGGCAUGUGCCUAUAUUGUUUGUUCUACACGAAAUCUUGUGUACUAUUACAUGUAUUAUGAGUGAAAUAUGGUACACUAUUUCGUCCAAUGUAUACGAAAUAUUUAAUUAUGUUUUGUUCAAUUUGUAUGGAAUAUUUAGUUCUGUUAUGUUCAAUUUAUAUGAAAUGGUUAAUUAUAUUUUGUUCAA